UGAGGAAUAUUGGUCAAUGGACGGAGGUCUGAACCAGCCAAGUAGCGUGCAGGAUGACGGCCCUAUGGGUUGUAAACUGCUUUUGUAUGGGGAUAAAGUUAGGGACGUGUCCCUAUUUGCAGGUACCAUACGAAUAAGGACCGGCUAAUUCCGUGCCAGCAGCCGCGGUAAUACGGAAGGUCCAGGCGUUAUCCGGAUUUAUUGGGUUUAAAGGGAGCGUAGGCUGGAGAUUAAGUGUGUUGUGAAAUGUAGACGCUCAACGUCUGAAUUGCAGCGCAUACUGGUUUCCUUGAGUACGCACAACGUUGGCGGAAUUCGUCGUGUAGCGAUGAAAUGCUUAGAUAUGACGAAGAACUCCGAUUGCGAAGGCAGCUGACGGGAGCGCAACUGACGCUUAAGCUCGAAGGUGCGGGUAUCAAACAGG
RNAcentral lists this ribosomal RNA (424 nucleotides) under Verrucomicrobiota bacterium. RNAcentral describes it as "Verrucomicrobia bacterium partial 16S ribosomal RNA". It matches the Rfam family "Bacterial small subunit ribosomal RNA", at positions 355 to 776 of the family's 1533-position model. Lineage: Bacteria; Pseudomonadati; Verrucomicrobiota. The record is from RNAcentral.